Molecule: ribosomal RNA, 465 nt
Filed under: Vreelandella stevensii
Lineage: Bacteria; Pseudomonadati; Pseudomonadota; Gammaproteobacteria; Oceanospirillales; Halomonadaceae
Description: partial 16S ribosomal RNA
Rfam family: Bacterial small subunit ribosomal RNA
Source: RNAcentral
CCUACGGGAGGCUGCAGUGGGGAAUAUUGGACAAUGGGCGAAAGCCUGAUCCAGCCAUGCCGCGUGUGUGAAGAAGGCCUUCGGGUUGUAAAGCACUUUCAGUGGGGAAGAAAGCCUUGGGGCUAAUACCCUCGAGGAAGGACAUCACCCACAGAAGAAGCACCGGCUAACUCCGGGCCAGCAGCCGCGGUAAUACGGAGGGUGCGAGCGUUAAUCGGAAUUACUGGGCGUAAAGCGCGCGUAGGCGGUCUGAUAAGCCGGUUGUGAAAGCCCCGGGCUCAACCUGGGAACGGCAUCCGGAACUGUCAGGCUAGAGUGCAGGAGAGGAAGGUAGAAUUCCCGGUGUAGCGGUGAAAUGCGUAGAGAUCGGGAGGAAUACCAGUGGCGAAGGCGGCCUUCUGGACUGACACUGACGCUGAGGUGCGAAAGCGUGGGUAGCAAACAGGAUUAGAUACCCGAGUAGUC